This 1189-nucleotide long non-coding RNA is filed under the name Ricinus communis (castor bean). RNAcentral's name for it is "long non-coding RNA (RCOM_LNC001602)". Lineage: Eukaryota; Viridiplantae; Streptophyta; Magnoliopsida; Malpighiales; Euphorbiaceae. The record is from RNAcentral.
UUUUUCCUUCUCCCCUGCUGCCACCACUGCAGUCAUUGUUGAUGCAGCAACCACUGCAGCCACCUCUGAUUUAUAUACUCGGGGUGAGCUCUCUCCCUCCUCAUCUGGUUGAACCCCAUUUCUAUAUGAAUCUGAACAGUCACACUCCUCCUGAGAGCCACAAGAUGAAUAGCCUUUUGCACGUGAUUGGACAUAAGAUGCUGCUGAAGCAGCAAUCCCAUAGACAGAUGAGCGUACUGCAAGCCUCUGCUCAGAGUCCUUGGUUUCCUCCAGAUCGGAUUUGGUAAGAGAAACAACAGGUAAAUGCAUGGAGUCCUGAUUGAGUUUUGCUUUAGUGGCAGCUGCCUCUGCUUUCUUUUCUAGUGAGGAUGUUACAAAUUGUAAGCCAUAAUAUCUUCUCAAAUCUUUGGCCUGCAAAUUGAUUGAUGAAGUUAGUUAAACUAGAUGCAUUUUCUAUAUGUAUCUGCUCAAGUCUUUAUUCUUUGGGGUAGGUGGAAAACUACAGAGUUUUGUGCUUUCUUUGGAGUUUGGAUCAUACAAUGAAUGAGAAGAGAGAAGAGAGAAGAGAUUUCUUACACUGACUGAUAAGUAUGUUUUGCAUGUCAUAAUUUAGCAAAUCCAAAAGUAUGCCAAAUAUCUGAAUCUCGGUUAGGCAGUAAUGUGUUACAAUUAGCUAAUCAAUGCUUGAUUUUCAUAUGCAUAUAUAGGCACAAUUUCUAAAGAAAGCGGUUUCCAGAGAAAGGUGAAUUCUCUCUAUAAAUAGCCUGAGAUUUUGACUAUGCAGUCACUGAUUAGAUUUUGUGUGAUUUCAGUAUUUUUGAAUGUAAGAAGAGUAGAUAAUGGGUCUAAUAUUAAGGUAACUCGCACCUGAUACUUAUGAAAAUAAGAGACUGACUUAUAAAAGCUUCACUUGCGGAUUUGCAGGACAUUAUGAAGAGAAGAAAGAGGCAUACCUUAAUCUCAGGUAUAACAUAAGCCAUGUUGCACAAGAAAGCCAACUUAGAGAUUGGCUUGAUAUCGGACCAUGGUACAUGAGCCAAAAAUCUUGAAAAUGUUUUGUGAUCAUAUUUCGUUUCUUCUCCUUCCUUUUCGAAGUUGUAAUCCACCACGCACCCAUCCACAUCGUCAUAACAGCUGCAGUCUCCAUUUUCUUCAACAUCACAAAGGUCAUCUACAUCUAUGUCCUCUU